Long non-coding RNA from Symphalangus syndactylus (siamang), 570 nucleotides. RefSeq lists it as uncharacterized. Lineage: Eukaryota; Metazoa; Chordata; Mammalia; Primates; Hylobatidae. The record is from RefSeq and is a predicted model, not a curated record.
CCGGGCGGACUUAAUCGCGGGCGCAGCGCGAGGCUCGGGACCCAGAGCGCCACCUACCGGCGGCACGGUCGGCGCAGCAGGCCCCAGAAGGGCGGGGGACGCUGUCAAGCCCAGGGGCACUUCAGCAAGGAGCCCCACCCGCCCUCCAGCUGAGCCUCAGCUGUGGCCCACAUCCGGGGCCCAGAGCGCGGCGGAAACGCCGAAGCCCGGCCGGCAGGCCUGCUUCCUGGCAAUGUGCUGUCAAUUCAAGAAAAGAAAGAAGGAAAGCUACUUCACGAUCAGAAAUCAAACCUCACCCCCACUUCUCUCUCUCUCUUUUCUUCCUUUUUUUUUUCUCUGAGCAAUGGUCCCCAGGAAACAAACCCACAAACCGCUGUCAAGUUUGAUUCCUCUUUCUGGAGUUACAGCCUUCCUGCUCCUCCGUGAUGGCUCAGCUGACGUACCACCUCUGCUACUCGUUUUCAAAAUACAUGUUGAGUCUCAGGACCAGGAGGACGAUUGAGAUUUUUUUCCUUGUCGUCUUUCUUUUCUUCUUCUUUCUUUCUUUUUUUGGUGGUGGGUGGGGCCAAA